ACGAGUAAUAAACGCAGGUGAUCGUCGAUAUCGAGGGUUUAUACUAAACGCAGCAGAGUUAAACCUCACCUGAACAAGCAAUCACGUCGAUCGAUCGUAUAAAACCUAUUAUACCUAGCUGUGACAUGAGAACCAACAAUUAAAUCGAUGGAUUAAACAAGAUUCAUCUUCAAAUGUUUCAACGUACGGUAGUUCUAACAUCGGUUAAUUGUGCGUACGUAGAUAUACUGAGAAGUCGGCCAGGAAAAUCUCAGAACCUUGUACUGAGAAGUCGCACCCUAACCCACCUACCUAACUCCGUCUUUAUAGAUGGAGCAGUCUGGGAGAGAGAGGGAGUAGAGAAGAAGUAGGGCGAGGAGAAGAGAUCCGGCGGCGGCGCCGAAAGGAGGAGGGAGAGCCGACGGAGUAGAGGAGACGGAGGUGGAGGUGACGGAGGAAUGGGUUGAUCGUGCCCGUUCUGCUGCACGUCCGUUUCCCUCUACCGCCGCCGCGAGUUAAGCCAGUCGUCAUGUCUCUUCUACUCUCCCUCUCUCUCUCCUUUCCCCUCUCCCCCCACGCGGACAGGGAGUGGGGUACAGGGGCCGCGUGGCAGCGGGGAGGUUCGGAACCACCAGGUCCCUCCUCAUCUACCGUGGUUGAAGCUAAGGCCGGAGGCGGGACUCGAGGCGGCGGAGUGCUUGAGCUCCGCUGCCCGCGGCGGGGGUGCUCGAGUGAGGCGGAGAGCUCCUGGAGGAGAGGAAGCGCCGGGGCUCGCUACAGAACUUGAGAAGACAGGGAUGUGUACCAGUCGUAGUCGUCUCCCGGUUUGCUACGUUGACGUCCGCGUUUGUUAAAACGACCACCAGUUUCGGGAUAAGAUAACAACACUAUGACCACUCGAACGUGCCACGUCGUCGGACCUCUCCGCCGAUUGCCGCGUGGACGCUUCGUUGUUAUUUGUGCAGACUACGGUUGUACGGUUCUAUCUUUUUAACGUAGGCCGUCUGACAAAUGCUGUAACACCGUAACCUGAUACUCUUUCAAUACCAGGAAUAACUACGUUGUUGGCGACGUUCCGGUCUAUAGGUAAACCGUUCAUAAUCUCUAUACUACUGAUAACCGCACCUUUGUGGUUGGAACCUUCUCACCGCGGCAAUCCAAUCGUCCACCACAUGAAGUAAGAACCUCGACUGUAUGUACGGAUCCACGUAGUUUCAGUUGUUUGCGCGACGAUGGAGAACGACUGAGAGGUAAGCCGGGGCUGUUCAAACAUCAUGGAAGUCGUAUCUUCGUCAUCACCAGACGAGGGGGUUUAUAGAUAUCGAGCACCUACACCGCCAUACCCCUUAUCCCUCAUCUACUAUACCCUUAUUCUCCUAGGUCCGUGCACGUGUUUAAGAACGAUGGACUGCCGAUACGACUCCUACGGAGACUGGAUAGAGUUCUUCUAAACUCGGCGUCUUACUGCACAUGUCGCGUGGUGGUCAAGGAGGCUGUUGUGUCGACGACAUGACCAUCGUCGCUGGUGUUGAAGGGUGUGUUCGCAGCGAUCGACACUGGCAGUUACAUGGACUACGGCAUAUACGGAGAGGUAGGGCAAUCAGACGAGCUAAUAAGCCAAGACGGUCGCGGUUCCAAGUUGUGUAAAAUCAAAAUACCCUACCUGUAUCCAACCUACCUCGUAGCUCCUAAAGUCCGAACCCCACCGUGUCAUCAUCCUAUCGUCCUACUCAACCUACACAAGAAGUCUCUGGUCCACUACAGCAACGGCUUUCAGACGGCAGUACCCUUUUCAGCCCUAGGGUUGUUUUCACGAAGACCUACGAUACUUCGUUGUCGAAUCGGAAGGUUCGCUUUCAUUCUGUAACAUUCGUUCAUUCUGUAAAGGGUACUGCCGUCUGACUACUGCCGUCUGUAUUUGAGGAUACUGCUGUUUGACUACUGCCGUCUGAAUUUUUACGAAGACCUACCACACGUCUCCAAAGAAUCAAGAACAUGACGUGGGGUAAGAAAAUCUUUAACUUUGAUGAGGUCGCAGGUCACAAUCGAUUCUCGAUUCUACUCAUGUUCUUAAAAGACAUCUCUAACAACGUUCCUCUGUAGAGACAGGUCACAAUCGAUUUAAAAUAACCAGAGCCGUAACCUGAUAGAUACGUAACCAGAGUGUAGAAUAAAAGCCUUGUAAACUCAUGAGAAGUUUAUACGUAUGUGACGUAUAAAAGUCACUAUCAGACUUUUAUACGUAUAUGUGACAUGUCGUCGUAUAACUUUUGUAAGUCCAAAAUCAUAUUGACUUAAAAAACAAUGUAUGUGAGACGCGAAGAAGAUAUCGACUUAAAAGACAAUGUAUGUGAGACGUGAAGACGAAAUUGACUUAAAUAAAAAGUCCAAAACAUGUAGUCGGACGACUUUUGUAAGUCAGUAACUGUUUAGUACUGUAAUGUUAGACUGUUUAGUACGUACGUUUUAGACUGGUUCACAUUUUCGAACAGUUUCGAGAGUAAGGAACAAUACAAUAUUUGACUUACGGUUCUAUCUAAAGAGUUACAUGUUUAACAAACGUGAAAGACUCGUGACUUUAGACAUAUAAAAUCUAUUUCAUCGUAAACGGUCAUCUUCAGUACCAACCUAGUUGUAUAAAAAGGUGACCUUAGGAAAAAAUUACGUUCAAAUGUCGAUGAGUCUCAAAGAUUAACCUCUGAGUUGAUAGAACUGGAUGGCUACUAGAUUAAACACCGUAAUAAUGGAAUUCUUUUAUAAACGUAAAUUAAAAGAAAUAUAUAUCCCCAUAUUCAAGAAUGGUUUACAUAAGUUUAUAUGUCAACAACUUUUUUACGUUUAUAAAAGUUGCACUUGUACUAAAAUUUGCCC
This 2850-nucleotide ribosomal RNA is filed under the name Triticum aestivum (bread wheat). Its description in RNAcentral is "partial small subunit ribosomal RNA". Lineage: Eukaryota; Viridiplantae; Streptophyta; Magnoliopsida; Poales; Poaceae. The record is from RNAcentral.